GCGCUCAAUCAACCGAUUCCGCAUACGGCAGAGAGACGAACCAAAUCCGUCGAAAUUUGCACGGGAAUAAAUUCCUAUUUUUUUUAUAAGUUACUCGUAUUUUUGCAUUGUUUUAGUUAUUUGAUUGUAAAGUAAUCAUGGCAUUGAAUCCACAGUACGAGGAUAUCGGUAAAGGAUUUGUGCAACAAUAUUAUGCGACUUUCGACGAUCCCAACCUCAGAGCGAAUGUGGCCAAUUUUUAUAGUGCAACAGAUUCAUUUAUGUCCUUUGAAGGAGUGCAAUUACAAGGAGCUCCUAAAAUAAUGGAAAAGUUAUCUAGCUUAUCGUUCCAGAAAAUAUCGCGAGUUAUAACAGCCAUUGACUCGCAACCUAUGUUUGAUGGCGGUGUAUUAAUCAACGUAUUAGGAAGGCUUAAGACCGAUGAUGAUCAGCCACAUGCGUACAUUCAGACAUUUGUUCUUAAACCAAUAGGUGGUAGUUUCUUCGUACAACAUGAUAUUUUCAGACUGUCACUGCACGAUGUAUAGUACCGCGUACAAUAAGCAACGCGUAAACUGCCCACGACUCGCGCCCGACAGUGAACGCUAAAGCUACUGCUCGUUAAAUAGAAGAAAAUUUUUAAUAAACUAUGCUAUUUUGCUAACUUAUGUUACCUUAAUUAACGAUAACAAAAUGAAAAGAAAAAAAAAAACGAAUAAAAUGGCAACAAUUUAGGAUAAUAAAUUUGACUGACUAGUGACUGUGUCGCGCGUAAAGUCGCCAGCUUUGCCGUCAACAUCGCCUUUGCCGUCGCUGCCGAUACGGCAUGAAGUGUGAUUAUUACAUGAAGCCUAUUCAGCGUUUUCGGUGUUCAAUCAACCAUAAACGAAAUCGUAUAGGAUACGAGCUGAUGGUCACGAACAUGAGUUUUACUGUGAUGAGGAUCCACCUCAUGCUUUCUCGCAAGUCUUCGUUUUGAGGCCACUCGGCGGUACAUUUUUCUGUGCACAUGACAUCUUUCGUUUAAAUAUACACGACACAGCCUAGUUGUGUUAACAUUUUGAUUACAUUUAUAAUGAUAAUGAUAUAAAUAUUAAAAAAAUGAAGUGAUUGUAAUAACGUUAGAAA
RNA transcript from Anastrepha obliqua, 1107 nucleotides. It is a transcript of the gene named probable nuclear transport factor 2, with no coding region annotated. The transcript has 5 exons. Lineage: Eukaryota; Metazoa; Arthropoda; Insecta; Diptera; Tephritidae. The record is from RefSeq and is a predicted model, not a curated record.